Long non-coding RNA from Mugil cephalus (flathead mullet), 2952 nucleotides. RefSeq lists it as uncharacterized. The record is from RefSeq and is a predicted model, not a curated record. Lineage: Eukaryota; Metazoa; Chordata; Actinopteri; Mugiliformes; Mugilidae. The transcript is spliced from 2 exons.
UCUAGCUCCAAGCUAACAGAAGCUCUUAUGUUUUUUACCUCUGUGAUUAUUCCCCUCAGGUCCACCAGGAGACAGCAGGACAGGCCCCCCAGGCCCGUCUGGUUCCGCCGGACCUCGUGGUCCCCCCGGGCGUCCGGGCUACGCCGGGGUCCGCGGGCCCCCUGGACCUCCCGGAUACUGCGACUCCUCUCAGUGCGUCGGCAUUCCUUACAACGGGCAGGGAUACGGAGGUUGACCAUAGUAGAGUUUUUUUGCCGCCUGUGCUGCUUUCACUGACUUCCUGAAAAACAAAACCAAAAAAAAAAAAAAAAAAAAGUCCUGUAACUGAAACACUUGCUCGUAAACGCCAAAGGGAACCAUUAACAAAACUGUGCUGAAACACAACACAACAACAACAAAGAGGAACCAGUACUAACAACGACUCACAACCAGUAGAGCAAAACACCAGCGGCAGCAGCAGCAGCAGCCAUGAUGAUGAUGAUGAUGAUGAUGAUGAUGAUGAUGAUGAUGAUGAUGGCACCGACCCGUUUAGUGGCCUGUUUGCAUCUUGAAGCCAAAGACCAAACAAAGCAGCCUUGUGCUGAGUGGAGGAGCAUGCACCCAACAACAGCACCAACAAACAGCCCAAACCAAAUACUAACAAAGGUGGAUUUAUAGCAGAGGAGCCGAGCAGCAUCAGCCUCAGCAGCAUCUCUGCUAACAGCAUCUCUCACCACGUGUAAAUAAACUAAUUUGUAAAUGAUGUUUGAACCGAGUCCUCCACACUUUAACAUCUGUAGUUUUAAAAGCUUGCGCCUUGCAAACAACAACAACCUGCCGCUUGCUGAAUGCCGACAAAAACGCCUCUUUGAUUGUUUUUUUUUUAUUUGUAUUUUUCUGCCCGUGUGUUUGUAGCUGUUUUACCAAACGCUCAGGACCAAAAGUGAAGGUUCACAUUCACCGUUUCAUGUCUUUAGCGAAAAGAAUCUGUUUUUAUCCCCGAAUCACCUGCACUGUAACCUGGAUGUUAUAAAACACUAACAGCGCCACCUGGCUGGAGGUAGAGGGUAGUACUUUGUGUUUGUGUUGUUGUAUUUUGUAAAUGAGUGAGUUGUGGAGAAAUGAUGAUGCUAGUUCCUGGCUAACACCUGAACAUCGCUAACAUCAACGUAAAGGGGGAACGUGACGGAAAUGUCCAGCAGGGGUGUGUCCACGAGGGCUAAUUUACAUAUAAUUAUCCCCACUAGCUUAAUUAGCUUCUGGCUGCGCGCUCUUAUCUCUGCUAAUGCUGUUAGCGCUGCUUAUUGUUAGCCUGCAGCUCCCAGGUUCUUCAGUUUGACCAUUUUAAGCCCUUAAUUAUCUUAUUAGGUGGAUAUGAAAUAAAUAAAUAACAUUAGCAGAAAGCUAAAGAGACCACUGUUAAUGCUAAGCUAGGCUAAUUAGCUUAAUCAGAUGAUACAAGGUCCAGCUGAGCUACUAAGGUGUUGGAGCAUCAAUAUUAAGCUUCAAACGCCACGAAGCUGAGGUAAACUAGCUUUAGCUGAUGCUAACAGUUAGCUUGAGUUCUACUGUUUGUUUUUAGUUGGUAAAAUUAAUAUCAGUCCAUAGCGGCUUAUUUUGCCGUCAAUAUCUUUUACAACAGACAUGAUAGUAGCUUUAGCUGAUGCUAACAGUUAGCCUGAGUUCUACUCUUUGUUUUUAGUUAGUAAAACAGACAACAUGAUAGUAGCUUUAGCUAAGGCUAACAGUUAGCAAUCAGAUGCUUAUGCUAGCUUGAGUGCAGCUGAGGAAAAGUCGUUGUAGUCCAAUUUGUCCGAAAGUAGUUUAUAUAUGUGAGUCCAGAGUGCAGACGUCACUACUUCCUGUUUGGAGGCCCCGCCCCCCUUAAACCCACCGUGGCCACGCCCCUGCUCACUACUAACCAGCUGUGUCAGGGCUUCACCAUCGAGCCAGACUUCCUCCACUUUUUAACCACUUCCUCUUGUGCAUGUUGAGAGAAAACGAGGAGAAACUCAUUGCCGCCCCCAAACUAUCUCCGAGCAGGACCGUUCCCACCCGAACCAGAACCCCGGGUAAACCCAGAACCCGGCGAGGACCAGGGGUCGCAGCGCCGCAAGAGAUCACUAUCAAGACCGACCCCCGGCCGGUUAACGCCCUCAUAAGUGGCUCUGCUUUCUCUGUCUCCACCUGUCUGACUUUAUACACAAACCAAACAAAAAGAAAAAAGACGAGGUUUGACACCUCAGAUUGAUCAGAAAUCACUUUAAAUGCCUUCAGACGUGUGUGAAUAUUCCUUUUUGUGGCAGGUGAAGGGUUUGGAUGAUGGACGGAGGGAGGGAGGGAGGGAGCUUUGGCUGAUUGUUUGGCAGUUCUGUUAAAAUGGAAGAAAAAAAAAAGUUAAGAAGCCAAAGAACCUGUAAGUUUUUUAUUCCAUUAGUGUCUUUUUGCUUGUAACAUAUUUGCAUUGAGUUUGUAGCAGCGAUGCUGGCGACGUUCACAGUGUCGGGACAUCAGAGGGUUUUUAUUUCUGUCACGUCAUUAUAACUUCUCAUCAUUCACUGUCACUUUUAGGAGGUUCAGUUUCAUUACGGCAGUUAAACAACGCUUCUCAUUCCUAUAUCUUAGACUUGGUAUUUAUCGGUUUCCUUUAUUCCGUCACAGCUAAUUUUACCGAAGGUGGAAUUGCAUGUCUGUGGUGUAUAUUUAGUACAUGUUUUUGUUUUUUGUUUAUUUUUUGUUUUUGUUUUUUUGUUACAUUUCGACUUGUUUUUAACCAGAAUAUAGUUGUUGUCAUUCCUGUCAUUUCUCAGUAUAGAAUGCGUCAGAAAUCUGCGCUAGACUAUGGAUGGUUUCCAUGGCGACCAUGGUCAUUGCUUCAUGUUUCAGCUGCAGAUUGUGAAUUCCACAGCCUUAUUUUCUUAUUUAUUUCUGAAAACAGAAGAGGCAUUUUUCAAUAAAACUACUGAAAAUCUA